Molecule: long non-coding RNA, 37968 nt
Filed under: Solanum tuberosum (potato)
Lineage: Eukaryota; Viridiplantae; Streptophyta; Magnoliopsida; Solanales; Solanaceae
Description: long non-coding RNA (STUB_LNC011110)
Source: RNAcentral
AAAUUUCCGAUGGUAAUAUGAAAGGAUAAGCACAAUCACGAAACGGAAAGUUAAACUUAAAAGUUUGUAGAUAGCAUAGGCUUGAUAUCGAUAGAGGAAUGUCUAUUAUUGAUGAGGGAACAGCUUUUAACGAUCCUCGAUACUGCUUUAAGCAAGGAUAAAAACACAAAGAUAGGUAUCUCAAAUGAAUUAGAGAAAGUACUCCACUGGGAAAAAUUGGGUAUAUAUUCAAACCAAGAUCUAGUACUCUUACUAGCUUGAAAGACAAUUCCAGUGUGAAGCAUUUCAAUCCACCCAACAUGAUAAUAGAAUGAGCCUCACUGUUACGACACCAAGCCAAUUCUUCCUUCUUAUAGAUACUGAUCCGACUUCGACUCUUAAAGGAACACUGCAUGGAUUGUGCACAUGAAUUUUGAUCACUCUUUCCUCUGAUAACAUUCACAAAAUUCAUGUUUCGAGCUUCCCUCAAACAGAGUUCACGGAUCACAUCAUGCAUUCCACAUCUCUCUAUUUCCCCAUCAAAACUCAAAUUGUGGAUAGAAAUUAGACUUCUAUCUACAAGUUCGUUUAUACAUGUUUCUGCCACCUCUUCUAUGCUUUUUCCUUCUUCUUCAUUCAAAAACCCCUCUACGGCCCAUAACUCAACAAGUGCAUUUACAUAAAUCCGUUCAUCCUCUGCGAAAAUUGCAAAAUACAGAAAACACGGUUUUAGGUGAGAAGGCAAGUGAUGGUAACUCAAAGCCAACACUCUCAUGCAUUUUGCUUCAAGAUCUCUGCUUACCACCGAACUUACAUUCUCCGCAACAUUUUGCCACUCAUCCAAUGUUUUACUGAUUUUGGAGAGAAGUCCAGCAAUCAAAGUAAUUUCUAGAGGUAACCCUCCACAUUUUAAUGCAAUUUGUUUCCCAAUAUUUUCAAAUUCAGGAGAAUAAGAACCUUCUUUUUCAAAGAUCUUUUUGUGUAGUAAAUUCCAACUUUCGUCAAAAUUCAUGAGGCGCAUNNNNNNNNNNNNNNNNNNNNNNNNNNNNNNNNNNNNNNNNNNNNNNNNNNNNNNNNNNNNNNNNNNNNNNNNNNNNNNNNNNNNNNNNNNNNNNNNNNNNNNNNNNNNNNNNNNNNNNNNNNNNNNNNNNNNNNNNNNNNNNNNNNNNNNNNNNNNNNNNNNNNNNNNNNNNNNNNNNNNNNNNNNNNNNNNNNNNNNNNNNNNNNNNNNNNNNNNNNNNNNNNNNNNNNNNNNNNNNNNNNNNNNNNNNNNNNNNNNNNNNNNNNNNNNNNNNNNNNNNNNNNNNNNNNNNNNNNNNNNNNNNNNNNNNNNNNNNNNNNNNNNNNCAUGUUCAGGUAAACUGACAAGUGAGCUAGUUUGUGGUUUUAGAUCUUUCAUGCUGUCCGAUGCUGCCAUCCACUGUUUCACGGUGGAAUCAAUGUAUUCUAGUGCUUGUUCCAAGACGAAAAAAAUCUCCCACAUAGCCCUGCUUCUUUCCUCCAAAUUCUGUGCUAAAAAAACAUUUCUUGAUUCCGAGUCAACCAUAUCUUCUGUUGUGUAUGCUACCUCUGCGAUUUCAACUUCCAAGAUUGUUAACCCCUCAUGAUCGCCCAUUAUAUUGCAGGAUUUCUCCAGAAUAGCUCUCAAAGAUUUGAGCUUUUCAUAAAACGGUUGCAAAUCACAUCCAGUAAGUUCCAUUGAUUGAUGUAUGGUUCUCAUAAGGGAAGUAACAGCAGCAUAAGCCAUAUAUCCAAAAAAUAGAAAUAUCUCUCAGUAUGAAAAUGGACAAAUUGCCACAAGUUAUGUAAUUUUUCAGUUUUUAAGAAAACAGAAAAUGCAAAGUUCUUUCUUUUACUAGCUAUUUCCAUCACAUUUCCAGCUAGGUCCACCAACCUUAUCAUCAUGUAGACAAAAGCAGAGACCAAAGUUAAAAAAAAGUAGAAAAAUUUGUGAUCAUUCAUUAUUAGACCGUACACAUAUCUAUUCAUGAAUAUAAGUAUGCUUCUUACAUACAAGAGAUUGAUGAUUUUAAUUACAUUGAAAGCAACUUAGUAGAAUUUUCCAAAUCAAAGAGAGAAAUAUUAAGAUCCAAGUAGGAAUUUCUCUAUUCCUAGUUCGAUUCAAUUAACCAAGCAUAAAUAUCUCUUAAUAUACAUGAGAAGUUUAGACUCUAAAAGUCAAAUCAACAAAAUAUUUAUGGGCUAACACAUGAAAAACUAUUGAGAAAAUCGCCUAAUUUCUGUAAAUUGGCCCUUAAAUCUCCAAAAUGAACUCUAAAAAUUGUCAGACUGUACGUAUUGCUCCCCAACUCCCUACUGAGGGUUCUGUAAAGAUUUCGAUUAGAAUUCGUCCGUAAGUCAUAUCACCAAUAUAUUAAUGACUAACACACACGAAAAACUGAGAAAAUUGUCUAAUUUCUUGAAAUUGGCCCCUAAAUGCCUAAAAUGGACUCUAAAAGUUGUGAGACUGUACGUACUGCUCCCCCGACUCCCUACAGAGGGUUUCGUAAAUGUGUAGCAAAGAAAUCGUCUGGAAGUCAUAUCACUAUAAUAUUAAUGGGCUAACACACACAAACCACUGAGAAAGUCGCGUAUUCCUGUAAAUUGGCCCCUAAAUGCCCAAAAUGAACUCUAAAAUUGUGAGACUAUGUACUGCUCCACUAACUCCCUAUGGAGGGUUCCGUAAAGAUUUCACAAAGAAAUUAUUCGGAAGACAUAUCACCAAAAUAUUUAUGGGCUAAUACAUUUUUAUUUGUCCAUUUGAUUUGACAUAUCUUUCAAGUACUUUGAUCUGGUUAUACUUUUUUUUUAUUGCUAAAAAUAAAUAUCCACUUUUACUUGUUCAUUCUACAAAACAAAGACAAUAUUUUAUUGCUUGAUUCAGAUAUAAAAUUUGAGUAGGCUAAUUUACAAACCAUCUGUAGUCAUCCUGCCCCUAUGCUAUAACAUUUGAAAGAAAGAGGUCAUCAUCAUCAUAUUCAUCAUCGUUGUCAUCUUCAUCAUCAUCUUCAUCAUCGUUGUCAUCUUCAUCAUCAUCUUCAUCUUCUUCAUCAUUAUCAUCAUCAUCAUCAUGAUCGUCAUCGUCACUUGUUUCCUCACUGUUGAAAAAGCCAGCAACAAAAGAUGAAAAAUGAAAUGUUAUGCAAGUAUAACAAGUUACACAAUUACUAUAUUGGAAGGAUUUAAAUCAUAUACAAUGACAACGUAUGAACUUUUACACUAUAGGUGCCAUUUAACUGCUUAUUAAAGCAAUUUAUAAUUAUUUUAUUACUAGUUCUGGACACGUGCUUUGCAUGUGUAUAUUACACGUUUAGUCACGAUUGUAAGAGGGUGUACACCAGGAUCAUUCGAAGAGCAAAGUCGUGUGAGCCUUACAGAUAUUCUUGACGUACUCCUAUUAAAAUCUGUAUCAUAUUCGUAACUUUUUGAAUGAGGUUCACCUUUUUCCUCAUUGUACUUUGUACAUGGAUGUUGUCCAUCACAAUAUCCCCUUUUUCAAAUUUCAUAGCUGAACUACUAGGUGUACGAGUUCCUACCAGAACUACUACCAACUAUUUAUCAAAACACACAUCAACUAUAUAUGAGUUGUUCCCUUUUACUAGUGGUGACAAAUAGGUGGAUUUGGACGGGACUGAAAAUGGAUUGAGCAACAUGGUCGUAACUCACUUAAUCUCUUAAAGCCAGAAAACUUUAAAGAGUUAAUUGAAAUAAACUUAAUGACUAUCCUACUUGAAGUAUCACCGUCGUUCAGGUAAGAAAAAGGAAGUAUAUCAAGGAAGAAGAUGUCUUACAAAGCCUGAUGGAUAUGGACCUCGAUAGAACCUCCAUAGUUGUCUUGAAUGUCCUGUUGAAUCUGCUUUGCGGAAUUCCCAACAGAUUCUGGGCAGUUUCUUAUAUAGAUUAGAGCAAGUGUGGUUAUAUCUGCAAAAUCUUGAGGGAUUGAGUCCAAAAACCUGCAACUAUCAAGAAAUAGUCGUUCAAGGCACGGAAAGUGAUCACAACUAGCUCUCCAGUACUGAAUAUGUGAUCUUUUAAGUAACAAGAACUUCAAAAAAGGAAACCCUUCCUCAGCUACUUCCCACUCCCUGCCUCUGCAUACACCCUGUGUUAGUUCAAGAAGUUCAAGUUUGGGCAAUUUUCCGACAACAAUGCUUAAAUCCUUCCAUGACAAGAAGAAAUUUCCUGUAAAAGUUAAAUUCUUAAGGUUUCGUGGAAAAGCAUCUGGAGGAGGUAAGAUCAAAGAUGGAACAACUUCUACAACAAGUGGAUUCCUUGUCUGAAAACACAUUCUCCUCUCCAAAAAGUAAGCAUUAUUUUGAGGAGGAAGACAAAAUGCUAGUUCCUCGAGAUGAUCUAAGUAGCGAAAAUCAUAGAGGUCUUUGUGACUAUGGAAGUCUUGUGGGAUGCCACGUACUUGCAACUCCUUUAAAUUGGGAAAUAGUCUAAAGAAAGAUGCAGUACAAUAGCUAGGAUUCCAUCCAAACAGAGAAUGUAAAUUUUUCAUAACCAAACUUUUCUCUGUAAGCUCAUGAUAUCGCAAGUAAUUCCGAUCCAAAUGAAGGUGCCUCAACUGUGGCAUUGUCAAAAUAUCUGAUGGUAAUAUCAAAGCAUGUUUACGAAGAUUAAUGACGAGUGGAAGGUAAAGUACCAAACUUUGCAGAUAGCAUAGGUUUGAUAUGGAUGUAGGAAUGUCUACUCUUGAUGAGAGAACAUCUUCUUCGGAUCCUAGAUAUUGCUCAACGUUAGGAUAAAUACGCAAAGCUAGGUGUCUUAAGUGAAUCAAAUAAAGUAUUUCACGGGGAAAAGUUAGACAGAUAUUAUCAGCAAGAUCUAGAACUCUUACUAGCUUGAACGGCAAGUACUCCCUCAUGCAACAUCGGAAUCUACCAAAUAAGAUAACAGAAUGAGCUUCACUGUUAAGGCACCUAACAUACUCUUUCUUAUUAUGGAUGCUGAUUCGACUUCGACUCUUAGACAAACACUGCAUGGAUUUCACAUAUGAAUUUUGAUCAUUCUUUCUUCUGAGAACAUUCACAAAAUUCAUGUUACGAGCUUCCAUCAAACAGAGUUCACGAGUCAUAUCAUGAAUUCCACAACACUUAAUUUUUCCAUCAAAAGUAGUACUUUUAAUGGAAAUUAAACUUCUAUCAAUAAGAUCUUGUAGGUACUUUUCUGCCACUUCUUCUAUGCUUUUCAUCUCUUCUACCUUCAAAAAUCCCUCUGUUUCCCACAAUAUCAUAAGUUUAUUGACAAAAAUCAGUUUAUCCUCUGGGAAGAUUGCGAAAUAUAAAAAGCAUGGUUUUAGGUGGUGAGGCAAGUAAUGGUAACUCAUUGCCAACACCCUCAUGCAUUGGACACCAACAUCUGUGCUUACUGCUGAACUUACAUUUUCAGCAACACUUUGCCACUCACUCAAUGCUUUGUCAAUUUUAGUGAGAAGUCCCGCGAUCACAACAAUUGCUAGAGGCAAUCCUCCGCAUUUCAAUGCAAUUUGCUUUCCAAGUUGUUCAUAUUCAGGGGAGAAAGAGUCUUUCGUAAAGACUUUUUCAUAUAAUAAAUUCCAACUUUCGUCAAAAUUCAUGAGGCGCAUGUGAUGAGGAAGCUUACCUGAGCUAGCAUAUUCAGCCACUUCCACAUUCCGAGUAGUCAAGAGUAUUCGGCUUCCAUUAUGAAAGUCUGGGAAACAUAUUUGUAUAUCAUCCCAAGCUUUUGUAGUCCAUAUGUCAUCAAUGACUACCAAAUAUCUCUUGCCUUUUAGAAGCUUUUGCAGUCGAUCUGCUAGUUGCCCGUCAUGUAGCUGAUCAUAAGGUUUAUCACUUAUACAAGAAAGAAGGUCUAGGAAAACAUUUCUCACACAAUACUCUUGUGAAACAGUAGCUUUUGCACGUAUGUCAAAGCGAUACAUCAUGCAUGGAUCGUUGUAGAGUUUUGUUGCCAAAGUUGUCUUGCCAAUGCCUCCCAUACCUACAAUUGAUACAACUUCUAGUUCUCUUUCUCCUCUAGCAAGUUGAUCCAGCAUCAUCUUGAAUUCAUUUUCAUAGCCAACCAUUAUAACCUCGGACCGCUCAACAGCAAGUUCAGGUAUCUUGGAUAGACAGAAAUUUUGUGCUUUGAAAUCUUUAAUGUUGUUGUACCAGUCCCAUAUUGCCAACCACUGCAUCAUGAAGGAAUCAAUACAUUCUACCUCUUGUUCCAAGGAACAACAGAGUUCCCAGAAAGCUUUGCUUCGUGUAAUUACAGUUUCUGCAGAAGAAACUUUUCUUGAUUUCGAAUCAACCAUGUCUUCUGCUUUGAAUGCUACCUCCGUGAUUUCAACUUCCAAGGUUGUUAACCCCUCAUGAUCGCCCGUUAUAUUGCAGGAUUUCUCUAGAAUAGCUCUCAAAGAUUCGAGCUUUUCAUAAAACGGUUGCAAAUCACAUCCAUUAAGUUCCAUUGAUUGGUGUAUGGUUCUCAUAAGGGAAGUAACAGCAGCAUAAGCCAUAUAUCCAAAAAAUAGGAAUCUCUCACUCUCAGUAUGAAAAUGGACAAAUUAAUUGCCACAAGUUAUGUAAUCUUUCUUUUACUAACUAUUUCCAUCACAUUUCUAGCUAGGUCCACUAACAGGAUAAAGUAGAAAGAUGUGAGGUCACUAACCUUAUCAUCAUGAAGACAAAAGAAGAGACCAAAGUUAAAAAAAAAAAAAGACGAAAAAGUAGAAAAAAUUGUGAUCAUUCAUUAUUAGACCCUACACUAAUCUCUUCAGAAAAAUAAAAUAAAAUUUUAGUUUAAAUAAAGGAAUUCAAGCUGUAUAUUGAUAACGUCCAAUUCAAAUUCAAGUGUAGUACGGUCUAGCAAUAAUAAACUCAACAAAAGUUGGAGUCGAGGAGUACGCUUGUGUCAAGGUGACAGAGAGUGUGCGAAUUUGCUAACAAACAAAAGGUCUUUCUUUUAGCUAGGUCCAUAAUCCAUGUAGUGCUCUAUACUCUCUAGUCUCUAUCAACCAGCUCAAGUUUAAGGGUGUGUUUGGUAUGGAGGAAACAUUUUCUCUAGAAUAGGGAGAGAUUUGUGCAUAAACAAGGAAGAAUCUCUCAGUAUAACAGUGAAUGGGUAUUUUUUUAAGAUUUGCUUCUUUUGUGUAUGACUUUUGUAAGAAACAUUCUGGUAAAAGUUAAAAAAAAUGAUCUUGUGGAAUAGCCACAGUGAAUUCCUUAAUAUUCGAGUAGAAAAAGCCAGAGAGGAUAACAUUGCUAUUUGUACACUUAUCGUGACACGAGUAGUCUCUUAAAUAUUACACCUUUCUACUGAUGUUGCUGAUGCCACUGGAUUUAGCCUUCCGUCUUCCUUUGCAAGGUAGAUCGAGGACUCCCAAGAAAGGAAACACAAGUUACUGGAGUCUGUUCUGGCCUAUACAGUAUGUAUGUACAUAAAAUUUGGAGUAUCUAAAAACCACUGACAAAUGGCUAUACGAAAGAUCAUAUACAAUUAAAUUACAAGCCAUUUGCAAUCAUCCUGCCCCUUUAUGCAGAAUCUUUUCAAAGAAAAUGAAAACGAACAAAACAAACACUCACACAUUUGGCUUCUGAUUUGACAUUUAUUUCAGAGAACUGGCUAGUCGCUGCAGGAAAAAAAAAGACGCAAAAAAUGGAAAAUAAUAUGUUAGAUGUCCCAUAAUUAAGGAACAAGAGAACAUUAUAGCAAGAAUGAGCAUGCAGGUAUAAGAACUUACACAUUAUUGCGGCAAGAAGCAACUUCUUUCUCAAAGUCAUCAUCAUCAUCUUCAUCUGUUGUUACACUAUCGAAAAUGCUAGCUACAAAAGAUGAAAAAUGAAAUGUUACACUUCCCAAAAUCAAGAAUGAGCAUGCAAGUAUAACAAGUUACACAAUAUUGGAAGGAUUCGAAUCAAUCACAAUGACAGCAUCAAGAACUUUUGUUGAAUUGGUGUAAUUUGACUUACUAAAGCUAUUAUCCAGAUUAUUAUCGAGUUUACUAUAAUGAUGAGUUAAAUAUUGUUGUAAAUCAAGGAAGAAGAUGUCUUACUAAAGAUUACGAGUAUGGACCUCGAUAGAGCUUCCAUAGUUGUCUUGAAUGUCCUGUUGAAUUUGCUUGGCGGAAUUCCCAACAGAUUGUUGACAGUAAUGUAUAUCAAUAAGAGCUAGUGUGGUUAUAUCUGCAAAAUCUCGAGGGAUUGAAUCCAAAUACUCGCAAUUUCUAAGAAAAAGUCGUUCAAGGUACGGAAAGUGAUCACUACUAGCUCUCCAGUACCGAAUGUAUAUUUGAUCCAGAAACAAGAACUUCAAGUGAGGAAACCCUUCCUCAACUACUUCCCACUCCUCGCCUAUGACGGCAUUGUGUGAUAGUUUAAGGACCUCGAGUUUGGGUAAUUUACCAACAAUGCUCAAAUCCUUCCAUGCCAAAAGGAAAUCUCCUCUAAAAGUUAAACUCUGGAAAAGAUUAAUUAACAAAAAUUUAUGGUACUAAUUGGGGUAUUAAUUAACAUAUCCUUACUUGAUCACAUAUGUAUUGUUCUGUGUGAAAUUUUCCUCUGACUGAUAGUUGACUAAAUUAUAUUGCAUACGUUCGUGUACAUUUUCUCACUUGGAAGAGUGGAUUUGGACGUAAUUAACUAUCACCAUCGUUUAGGUAGAAAAAAGAAAAUAACUAAUAGUUGAAUGUUUUAAUACAUAGAUGAUCAACUAAUAUGAGAAGAAAAGAGUAGCGUAAAUGUGAGAUUCACUUCUCACCAAGAAUCCUCCUUUCUUAUUAUUUUCCUUUUAGAGGUUAAUAAUUAUUAAGUAUCCCUAGAAUAAUUUAUUGAAAAAGUAGAUUUGAAAGAAAGCAAUUACUCUCUUCUUCCUAUGCGGGACUUCUUGAACAUAACUAAUUUGACAAAAACCACAAUUUUAUUUAUUUUUAGGUGGAAUUAUAUCAAUAAGGAACUAUAUAUGCUUAUGAUAUUAAUCUAAGACCAUUAUUUGUUACUUGAACACAUGGAUUCAUCAUCUGAACAAUUGAAACAAUUAAUACUUGUGUGAACCUUUUUUUAUUUCGAGUGAUGUGUCAUAAUCAUUAGCCAACUAAGACUAGCGUUAAAUUUUUGGUAAGUCUCAAGAAGUGUAAUUAAUACUUAAUAAAAUAAUCUCAUCCUUGAGAUUCAAGAACUUGUUUGGAUUGAAUAGGUUUUUAUCAUCAAGAUCUAGAACAAAGUCUUAAUAUUAGUAAGAGGUAUUUUUGUGUGAAAAGUUUUCUUUGAGGUUCGAGAAAUGGAAUAGAUAUGGACUACAAGUUGAUAUUUCCCAUUGGAAAAUUCACACAAAAAGGAACAAGGAAUUCUCAAUGAAAAAAGCGCUCUCCAAAUCUGUUUAGUAUUUGUCAUGAGGUUCUUAUCAUAAUUGGAUUUUCCUUUUAGGAAAAGGUAAACACAGUCUCCAUAUUUGUCUAGUUCUUUUUCUUGUAGGAAAAAAAUUAUGACUCUAUAAAUAGAUGUUUUGUAACAUCCGACAAUUUGAAAUAGCUAAGAAGAGGCUUGAAAUUUGGAAAUUUUCAAUUUUUGGAAAGGAUUUGAAAAUCUGGAAAAUUUGGCUAAGUAUGGGAAAGGUGAGUUUUUUUGGGCCCAAACUUUGAACAACCAUAAAUUCUAGCUCAGGAUGAGUUAGGUGGAGUUCCGGUUAUGUUUGCAUAGCCCUCGGAACGACCUUUCCAACGCCACUGAGUUUGCUCAAUUCUGAGUUCGUAUGAGCGAGUUAUGGCCAUUGAAAGUUGGGCAGUUGGCAGGGAAUCCGUCCGGAAAAUUAAGGGCAUUUUAGUCUUUUCCCUAGCCAAUUCUUUUGGGAUUAUAUUGUUGUAUAGGGCUGAUCUUUAGAUCAUUUUGUCCCAUUUUAAGAAAUUAAAAUCUAGGGCUUGAGAGUGAAGAAGAGAAGAAGGAGAAGAAGAAGAGAAAAAUCGAGGAGAUCAACAAGUUUCCGACAAGAUCAUCGUGAAUGUUCGUCGGGGGUGAUCCCUAUCAAGGUAUGUGAGCUUUUAGUGUUGGGUGAUACUUUCCCCCACACACCUAGCCCCUUUUAUUUAUUAAGGAAGGAUUGGUUAUGUUGUUAAAGUUGUUAGUUGUUGUGGUUGAAGUUGUUGGAGUUGUUAAAGUUGUUAGUUGUUGUUGUUGGAAUUAUUGUUGGUGGUGGGACAUAAUUGAGUUGUGUUUUUAUGUUGAAAUCUAUUGAAUGUUGAGGGAUUUUAUGUUUCUAAGUGAUUGGGGGCUGGAAUCUUUGAGGUUAGAGGGUUUAGAGUUGGUAACGUGAAGGAGAAAGUCGGGUAGCUUGCGAGGAGCAUGUCUGCGUCGCGGACUUGUUCCUCUGUGAACAAAAAAUCUUCUCCGCGUCGCGGACAGGACGCAGACUCCACUGUUUUCAGAAUUUAUGUUCGAAGAUUUUCUUAGGUUUGGCUGUCCCAAAUCAUUCGCAAAUCAUUCCUAAACAUCAUGAGACCCUUCCAAACACCAAUCAAGUCCUUGAAUCCAUAAUCCAAUUCAAGGUGAGUUAUGAUCAAGUCAAGUGAAGUUAGUUUUCAAGUCAAGUGAAGUUAGAAGUCAAGUGAAGUUAGAGCCAAGCUUAGAAGUUAAGCAAGUCAAAGCAAGUCUUUAAAGCUUUUCAAGAGUCUUCAUUGAACGUUUUGACUUCAUUCUAAGGCUCAAGUUCCAAGUUAAGUAUAGAGUUUCAAGUCAAGCAAAGAGUCUCAAGUUUCAAGUUAAGUAAAGAGUAUCGAGUUUCAAUUUAAGUCAUAAUUUUUCAGUCAAGAGUCAAGAGUUGAGUUCAAUUCUCAAAAGUAAUUAGGGAACUAAGUAUUUCCCAAAGAAGUUUUAUAAGUGUUUUCACAUUUAAGUUGAGAGGAAACGGAGAUUUCCAAAAGAGUUUUGAGAAGUUUGAGCACUAUCUCUUUUAAAAGAAAAGAUGAGUUUUUGAAAAAGAGUUUCUAAAUUAUGAUUAGUAUGACAAAUGGAGUAUGUCAUCAAUGUUUAAACAGUAUGGUCUCUAGAUAUACCAUCAAUGUUUAAGCAGUAUGAAUAUCCCGAGUCAUCAAUGAUCAUAAAAAAAAAAAAUGUGGUUUUGACUUGUUCUAUUUAGAAAGAGUUUUCAAGUGCCUUCGGGCUAAGUUUUGAGUAAUUAUCUCAACUAAAGAAAGAUGUGCUUAAAACACUUAUGAGCUAAAGUAUUUUGGGAGUAGUAUCGAGCACCGAAUUGGGGAAACGAGUUCAUAUUAAACUCAACUCUCCAUAAGAACCAUGUAGCCAAACAUGGGAUUUCUCGGAUCAUACUUUUUAGAUGAUCACGAAAGUUAAGCUAGUGGAUCCAUUAAGCAAAAGUUAAAGUAAGGUCCUAUAUCGAUGGCAAGGUAUAGGAUGGUCCUUGGGCAACGUGAGGUAAAACGUUGUAUCACCACUCAGAUUCAUAGUGGUGGUUUGUCGGUUAGAGAAGCUCCCACAGUAGAAAGAGCAUGGUUCCUCGAGGGUUCUGCUUAGUAUGGAUGGGGGUAUGGGACUUCAUUCAUGCAUUGCACAAGUAGACUUUGAGAGGAAGCAUGGUAUUUUUAUGAUAUUAUAAAUAUGAUUUUUACGUCAUGUUUUAAUAGUUUCAAAAGCUUUAUAUAUAUUGCAUGUGUCUCAUUGCUUUAUAUUAAGUUCAGUUAUUCUUGAGUUGUACAGAGCCAAGGUAAGUUCUCUUUUGUAUCCCUUUUCAAGCUUAAGUUGUUGUUUAGCGGUCCAGCUCGCAUACUCGUACAUUCCAUGUACUGAUGCCAGUUGGCCUGCAUCUUAUGACGAUGCAGACACNNNNNNNNNNNNNNNNNNNNNNNNNNNNNNNNNNNNNNNNNNNNNNNNNNNNNNNNNNNNNNNNNNNNNNNNNNNNNNNNNNNNNNNNNNNNNNNNNNNNNNNNNNCAGUCAGUUAGUUUUGAGUCUCUCAUCUAUGUAUAUAUGUAAAUAUUCUAUUUUGAGACUCGAGUGGCCUUUUUGGCCAGAUGUGUAUCAUUUAAGUUGUUUAUGUCUUUGCAUGGCAUUGAGUUAUUCUGUUGAGUAGGUUUCCGCUGAGUUAAGAAAGCCAGGCCAAGGGUUCGCUUGGGGCCAGCAAUGGUCUCUGAGUGCCGGUCCCGCCCAGGGUGUAGGCUCGGGGCGUGACAUGUUUAUUCAUUCUAGCUUGGUAGCAUUCAUAAUGCAAUCCUAGGGGGCUUUGAGAGUUUUGUGUAUUGUGUGAAGCUAGAGGAAGAAUGUAUGAGACACAAGUAUUACUUUAACACUUGUGUGAACCUCUUUGUAUUCAGAGUGAAUUGUGUGAGGUUAUUCUUCUCUAGAUUUUAUAGUGAUUUUUUCAUCUCCUCUUGUGGAUGUAGAUCGGUUGACCGAACCACGAUAAAUGUUUGUGUCUUUUGAUAUAUUUCUUGUUUGUCUUAUUACUCAUCGUCUUUCAAGGUUUGCUUUGCUAGCUUUUGCAUGACACCUAAUUAUUUCAGUCCCAACAAGUGACAUCAGAGUCAGGUUCAAUGGUUUAAUGAUUCAAUGGUCGAACCAUGUUAAAAAUAAGUGUUCAUCUUGACGGGUUUAGUUCUAGCCGUAACAUAUUUGACAGUAAUGAAGAUUUUUGUUGGAGAAAUAUUUUCAAAGAUGUUUUCUGUGUUGAUAUAUAUAUAUAUAUAUAUAUAUAUAGAUUUUGCAGAGGAGAUGCAAGGUAUUGAAGAUUAUGUGAAGAAGGUGGAUCAAAUUUAUUUUGUCAGAAAUUUAGGCCAAUGGAGAUAUUUGUUUAGUAUUUGUCAUGAAUUUCUUAUCAUAAUUGGGUUUUUUCUUUUAGAAAAAGGAAACCACAAAGUUUCCAUAUUUGGCUAGUUCUUUUUCUUGUAGGAAAAUGUUUGACUCUAAAAUUAUAUGUGUAUUCCUUCUAGCCUAAUAGCAUUUACAAUGUAGUCCUAAGGGGCAUAGAGAGUUUUGUGUAUUGCGUGUAGCUAGGGGGAGAAUGUGUGAGACACAAGUGUUACUUUAACACUUGUGUAAACCUCUUUGUUUUUCCAUUGAAUUGUGUAAGGUUAUUCCUCUCAAUAUUUUGUACUUUCUUUUAUAUAGUGAAUUGCUCAUAUCCUCUUUUGGAUGUAGGUCGGUUGUCCGAACUACGUUGAAUAUUUAUGUCUUUUGGUAUAUUUUUCGUUUGUAUUAUUACUCAUGGUCUUUCAAAAUUUGCUUUGCUAGCUUUUGCCUGAUACCUAAUAAUUUCAGUCCCAACAAAACCAAACGUGAAAGUUGUUUUCCAGCAGACAACUUUUCUAGUAGCUCUACUCUCGACUUGGAUAAUUUAACCAAAAAGGUACGCUUUCGGCCAUUCUACAUGCUGCCUAUGUAGAGACAUGUUUAUCUAAAGUGGAUUCUCUUUUUUGUAGUAGGUAUCAAACCUGUUAUGCCCAUUGACUAAGAAGCUAGGGGUGGACACAACAACUACAUGGACCUCUUUCUUACAUCGGCCAUCACUAUUAAUCGUCUUUGUUAUCACAAUGACCACCACUAUUACCGUCAUCAAACAUCUCUGUCCUCACAAUUACCAUUAUUAUCAACCACUACUAUAUAUCAAACAUUUGCUAUAUUUAUGUUUUUUAUUGACAUAAACAAUGGGUUAACAUGAUAUAAUUUAUUAGUAGUUUUAUAUAUUUUUCUUAUAAUAAAGGAAACAAUCACUUAUACAUUCUUUGAGAUCAUUUAGUUUAAAAUCAGGAGUGGAAUCAUAACUAGGGUUAUAGCUUAGCAUCAAUUCACCUUCUUAAUUAAUGGGAUAAUUUAAUUAGCUAAAUUUGAAUGAAAAGAAGAAGAAAUUGAUUAAUUUAAUUCGUUUACGUUCCAAUGGGGUGUGCAAUAUCCAUAAAUUUGUCAUGUCGUUAUUAGGUGUUCAUGAGAUGCACAUAUUCCAAGCAAAAGUACCUAUUUGAUCACUAGAUGAGUUUAAGUAUUCAAUUUACAAAUUCUGCCAAAUUUGAGGGACUAUCUAGGUAUUAUUUAGAUAAAAUUAUUUGUAUAGUCCACUCUAAACAUACUUAUAAUUAAGCAAGUAACAUAUACUAUAUAAAGAAGCUUCUAGAGAUAAUUAAAGUUAACUCUAUAUAAUUAGAGUUGCAAUAACAAAUACGUCAAAACAUUAAAGUGUUUCACCAAUAAAGUCAUUUUUUUAAUGUCCAAAACUAAUCCAAUGGAAGCUCUAUUAUGUGGAACACCAGAAGAAGUUUCAGUAUUGUUGGUACAUCAUGAAGUAGAAUUUCUUACUAAUCAGACUGUUAAAUUGUUAGAGGCUUAUAAAUACAAAGGUGACAUUCUAGAAUUUUUUUAACUUUUUUGUUUCUUUGAUAUAAUAACUAAAUGCCGUGUGACAUUUUUUUUUAUAUAUAGAGAGAGAUUGAAAUGAUAUGCUUUUUGUUAUCUCAUUUAUGAUUUUAGCAUCGUCCAUUUUUAAAUUUCAUUUAUCUUGUAAAUCUUGAACUUUUCUUUUUCCUUGUUAUCAUAGCACUUUUUAAUUUUUACAAAUUUAUCUAUCCUCGAAGAAAAAUAAUUCUACAUUAGUGAUGGAUGCACAAGAAAUUAGGAUGACGGGAGGGAAGAGAAAGAGCACGAAAAAGACAUGAUAAGAGAUGAUCUGUCUAUCAUUAUUACUUGAGAUAAUAUUUUUUUGUCUUUUAUUGGAUGUAUAAAAAAAAAUGAGGAGAUCUAAUUUUCAUUAAAAAAACAUUUCCCUUUCUAUUUUUUGUUUUUGUUUUUCGUUGGACGUAGACAAAAAAUUGGCAACUCCUUUCUUAUACUUUGUUAGAUCAUCUAAUUACAUAUCUAUGAAAUAAAAUUACCUCAAAACAUUUUAUCCUAUUAUCUUUUGCUUUAAUAUUUAUUUGUUUUUGACAAGCCAUAAAUAAAUUGGAAUAGUUUUUAGAAAUAUAUUCUUUAGGAUCUUCUCUAGUUUUUAGUAAUCCAAUUAACGAAAAAAAAAAACUAAUAUAUACUUUUUAUGUAACCAAUCUAGUUAAGAUUGCACUCAUCAUUUAUAAUAUAAGUUGAUUAAUAUGUGUUAUUUUAAAAAUUAAAGUGCAGAAAUAUAACAUGAAAAUUCACAGUUGAAUUUGAAUAACAAACAAACAUAUCCAAAUGAUACCUUUGUGUACAAUAUUUUUUUUUUCAUAAUUUUCACUGAUUUCAAAUUGCACGGGUAUAUGUAGUUACGGAAGUUAUGGCUCCUGCGGCAAUGUCAAUGCUUUUCAAAGAAAAGAAAAAAAUUGAUGCAAUGAUAAUCAAGGUCAUUUCACCGGAUUCACAUUGCUUUGAGCUCCUGGCACAAGCUGUAACCUUGAACAUCAUCGUAGUAAGUAAGUAUUUAUAAUUCUAUCUUCCACUUAUUAUUAUAGACGGUAAAGUAAGUUUUUUUAAUUAACUAUUGCAUAAUGUAUAUAAUAUUAUUCAAUUUUAAUUGCUAUCUUCUUGAUAUAAUUAUGCAGUUGUCUAUGAUGAACUCAAUGAAUUCUUAGUGAAGAAAGCUUUGGACAAUGGAGCUUACAUUUGCUCGAAGAAGCCUCUUGUCGAGCAAACUAUGACAUUCUUGUGGCAAUUUGUAUGGAGGGAGAAAACACAAAGAGGGAAAUCAAUAAAAAGAGUAGAAACAAAGGGAGAUCAUAUUUUUGUUUGAAGUUAUUGGAGUUCUGAGAAAACAAUAGGUCGUGGUUUUUUCCUCCCUUGAGCAAAGAGGUUUCCACGUUAACAUAUGUGUUCUUACUUUAAGCAUUUAGAUUACUUCUUGUUAUCAGUAUAGUCAAGUGGUCAGAACACGAGAAGACAUGUCACUAAACAACAACAUAUAUAGGAAAAAACAAACUCUGCUAAGUGAUCGAUCCGUGUGUGAUAGUUGCCUUCUUAACCUUGAACUAUUGCUUCCUGCUAGAUUAUAUGAACUUAGAUAUGUAUACAAAUUAGUAUUCAAUGAGUUCCCAAACAUUCGUGCAUAAACAAUUUCCCCUGUUGUCGUGCCACCAGGACUUAGCAUAUGUUCUGUAUUUGUAUAAUUUCGAUGAUGAUCAUGAGAUUGCUGGGAUAAUGGAGGCAUAUUAUUAUUGUGUAUUAGACCGUGACUCCUACAUCUCGAACUAGGAGGUCUUUGUGGUAUGACUAUACCAAAAUUCUAUACCAAAAUUCGGGGCCUUAAUUUCAGAUGUUUUUGUAGCUUGACAGCGACCAUAGAGUGGAAUCAAUGUUUUUUGUGAGACUUCAGCUUUGCAAACAGGGCAAUUUGGUUGUUGGUUAUCGAUGUUCUCUGAUGAAAUGGUCUUAAAAUGUAUCCAUUUGUAGAUGCAAGGCCAACAAUAGGAGGUGACCACAUAAUGUAACAACAGGAUCAUGUACAACAUCUAGGCAAAUGUUGCACUCGAAACCUCCAGGUGAAUUUUCUUCAAGUUUAUCAAGAUCAAUUGUCUCCAUUUUUCAAAGGAAAUAUCGCGUUGAUCAAAGGUAGUUUCUGCUAUUUGGUCUUGAAAAAUUUGUUCUAAGGCCAUAUUUGCCUCUUGGUAUUGAAUUAUUUUGGUAAUGGCAAGAUGAAGAAUGGUUAGAAUUCAGGUUUUUAAUACAAUUAGAAGUGAGUAUUUAUAAGGACAAAGAAUAGUAGUUUGCAAACAAUGAUUCUUAAGGUUGUCACUUGUCAACAUCACAUUAUGUUAAAGGGGCAUGGCCAAAAAGAAAAGGCCCUACACAUUAUUAAACAACACUAUAUCAUAUUACUCAACAGUCUUGAUUUAUGGGGUAUUGUUUGAUUUGAUAUAACAUUUAAUAAGAAAAUGAAGACUUUUAAAAUAUGUACUGUAUUAAAGAUAAAAAAUAAAUUUUAAGUUUUUCGAUCCUAGAAAUGAUAUUCUUUUUAUAUUAAGACUAAAACAAAUGUUUUACAUAAAUUAAGAUAGAUGAACUAUCAAACACAUCAUAAUUAAGUGAUUUAAUGAAGUCAAAAAUAAAUAUUAAUGGAUCAUGGUUAAGUGAGAGGAGUUUUGUGCAAACACGUCUUUUAUCUAUCUAUUUGAUUUAAACAAGCAUAAGUUUUAUCAUAUUAGAAAUAUGAUUAGGACCUUAUAUUAGGCCCCAUGAUAGGAAUCUUAAUCUAGAAAAUAACUUUUAGUCAAUAAAAAGUAGCACUAGUUGCGUACAAGGAGCUACCACUUGAUGACCUUCCACACUUCCACAUCCCAUAAGUUCAAUAGUUUUCACACUAUAAGAACUAGAUGUUUUUUUCCGCGUGAAUCAAUAAAAUUUUUAGUUUUAUGUUAUAAAACAUGAUUUUUUUCAUUUUGAUUUUAUUAAACUAAUUCACUAAGAAAAUUCAUAACGAAACAUAAGUUCUCAUUGAAAUACUGGAAAUAGUCACUUGGAAAUUUAUGAGUUUUAGGAAAUUAUGCAUCAAAACUUAGAAAGACGCGGCUCAUAUAGAAAUUUGUUGUUAAAUCAUAAUAUAUACUUUUACAUCUGAAUAUCUUUAUUGAUUUGGUUAAAAUUAUAAUUAAAAAAAUUACAAUACAAUAUAUAUAGAUUCACAUAAAUUUAAUACUGUAAGUUCAAUUAUUAUUCAAUUAUUAUUAUGAUAUAUUAAUCUAAAAUUAUUAUAGAAGCUUCUAAACUCUAAAUUCAGAUCCAACUAAGGAGUGAAUAUACAUAGUGGGGGUCUGGGGGAUGGGAGAAAACAUAUGGACGGUGUGACAAAUAAAUAAAAGAAAUACUCCGUCCAUUCCAUUUGACUUAGUAUUGUUUGACUUAAUACGAUGUAUAAGAGAAAAAAAAGAUUUUAGAAAAUUAUAGGCUAAAACAAUUUUUAUAUAUUUAUAUAAUUGUAAAUCAUUUCAUUAAUUAAGGGUAGAUGGAGAAUUUUAAGUUUAAUUAUUUUCAAUUACAAUAAAAUGACAUUUUUAAAGACGGAUUAUGAGAAUAGAGUGCCACGUAAAAUAAAACGAGAAAAUACUACUCCCUCCUUCCCAUUUUAUAUGUUACCUUUUUACUUUACAUUUACAUUAAGAAAUAAUGUAACUUUACCCUUCUACCCUUAUUUAAUGUUUUCUUAAGUUAACUUUAUAACUCCCUCCGUCCCAUUUUAUAUGUCAUCUCUUUCUAUAAAUAGUUGGACCACAAUACUUGUCAUUUUAUAAAAUUUAUGUAUAAAUUACCAUAUUUUACCUAUUAUAUCCUUGAUAGAGUAGUUAAUUAAUCUUGAAAAUAUAUUCAUCAUUUAUUAUAAAUUGACUUAAGAAAAUAUUAAAUAAGAAUAGAAAGAUAAAAUUACAUCAUUUCUUAAUAAAAGUAUAAAGUAAAAAUGUGACGUAUAAAAUAGAACGGAGGGAGUACUACAAAAGAACGAGUCCGCACAUGCAUUAUACAAGUACUACAUGUGUCUCGAAUUUAGCAGCCUUUUGUCAACUUUUUAUAUUUUGGCUUACUUGGAAGCAAGUCUAUCCUCUCCUAUACAAUCAAUUAGGGUGGCCAUUAAUCAUAUAUUAUUAGGCUAAAGAUAACAUAUUGCUCCCUCCGUUUUUAAUUAUUUAUCCAUUUUUUUAGUUAUUCCUAAUUACUUGUCUAUUUUUACAAAUCAAGAAAGAACAAUUUUUUUUACCUAUUAUACCGUCAAUUUAUUACUUUGAAAAAAGUAGAACUUUUUGAAAAUCUUGAGUUUUUAAUUCAUCCACUUCAUAAUUAAUAUGGAUAAAAUGGUAAACUCACUAUUUCAAUAAUUGUUUUCUUAAUAGGUGUGCCAAUUCAAAAAUGGACAAGUAAUUAGGGAUAGAGAAAGUAUAUCGAAAUAAUAUAAUAAGAUAUUAUGCUAAAGAUAAUUAACAAAACUUUGAACAAUUAUAAAUAAGAUAGCAAAAAAAUCCAUAGUAAAUUAACAUGGUUCAACGAUUAGUGAUGGAAUCUGAAUAUGAUUCAGGAUUUUCACUAUUAAUGAAAUUCAAAAGGAAUAAUACAUAAAUGUGCCCUUUAACUUGACUUCAUUUUAUGUUUAUGUCCUUCAACUUUGGGUAUACACAAAUAUGCACCUAAACUUGUAUAAAGUUGAACAACUAGACACAUGAGUCCUACAUGACACAAUACACAUAAGAUACCACGUAGGAUAAAAAAUGCCAUGUAGGACAUGUGUGUCUAUUUUUUCAACUUUAUACAAAUUUAAAUAUCUACUUGUGCACACCCAAAGUUGAAGGGCAUAAAUGUGAUUUGAAGCCAAGUUAAAGGGUAUAUUUAUGUAUUAUGCCUAUUCAAAAUAUGAAUAAAUAAACAUAUAAAUUAGCUGACUACAAUAAUAGACAGAUAAAAAAUAAUUUUAACUAUAUGUAUAAAUAAUAUAAUUUUUCAUCGAAAGAGGUUCAUCUGAUUCCUCACUACUUUCUCUCAUUCAAAACUAAGCAAUAUGAGACUUUCAUGUCACAUGGAACCCUUUUUUUUUUUUUUGGAAAUCUCAGUAGUUCAGUUAAUUGACUGACUAUCUGAAUUCUCGAUUUCCCAUGUUGUAAUCCUCUACCCCAAUUUUUUUAUUACCUUCCUCACAUAUGUAUAAGACCGAAUCCAAAUAUCUAAGAUGAGAGAAUUUUGGGAGAGCCACCGACUCCAACUACUGCCAUAUAUUAUCCAUAUUAGAUUUGACCAACUAUCCAUCCUACCCUCCUCUACGUUCUUGACAACCCAUUUUUGUCUUAGUCAAGUCUUUUAGUGGCACGUUUUGAUCCUCUUUUCAAUUACUUAGAAAAAGUGAGUUAUUAUUCAGAUACAAAAUACUAUCAUUAUCGCCUAAAAAAUUAGACAUUCAACCCGUAAUCACAAUGAUCCAAUUACAAAAGCUCCGAACCCCCUAGGUCUAGACUGGCUCUGGCCCUAGUUUUAUCUCUUGACCUUCACAUGAGUAAACUCGUUGAUAUAGAGGAUUACAGUAUUGAUUUCUUUAAAAGAAAAAAACCUUAAUUUAAGGUAUGGAGGCCUAGAAAGGAAACACACGUUAUAUAUGGAGCCUGUUCUGGCCUAUACAGUAUAUAUGUACAUAAAAUUUGGAGUAUCUAAAGAACCACUGACAAAUGGCUACGAAAGAUCAUAUACAAUUAAAUUACAAGCCAUUUGCAAUCAUCCUGCCACCUUAAGCAGAAAAAAUGAAAACGAAUAAAACAAACACUCACACAUUUGGCUUCUGAUUUGACAUUUAUUUCAGAGAACUGGCUAGUCCUCAGAACACCUUAACUACUCGCUGCAGAAAAAGAAAAAAAAGACGCAAAAAAUGGAAAAUAAUAUGUUAGAUGUCCCAUAAUUAAGGAACAAGAGAACAUUAUAGCAAGAAUGAGCAUGCAGGUACGUAUAAGAACUUACACAUUAUUGCGGCAAGAAGCAACUUCUUUCUCAAAGUCAUCAUCAUCAUCAUCAUCUUCAUCUGUUGUCACACUAUCGAAAAUGCUUGCAACAAAAGAUGAAAAAUGAAAUGUUACACUUCCCAAAAUCAAGAAUGAACAUGCAAGUAUAACAAGUUACAAAAUAUUGGAAGGAUUCGAAUCAAUCACAAUGACAGCAUCAAGAACUUUUGUUGAAUUGAUGCAAUUUGACUUACUAAAGCUAUUAUCCAGAUUAUUAUCGAGUUUACUAUGAUGAUGAGUUAAAUAUUGUUGUAAAUCAAGGAAGAAGAUGUCUUACAAAAGAUUCACGAGUAUGGACCUCGAUAGAGCUUCCAUAGUUGUCUUGAAUGUCCUGUUGAAUUUGCUUGGCGGAAUUCCCAACAGAUUGUUUACAGUCACUUAUAUCAAUAAGAGCUAGUGUGGUUAUAUCUGCAAAAUCUCGAGGGAUUGAAUCCAAAGAAUAGCAAUCUUUAAGAAAAAGUCGUUCAAGGUACGGAAAGUGAUCACUACUAGCUCUCCAGUACCGAAUGUAUACUCUAUCCAGAAACAAGAACUUUAAGUGAGGAAACCCUUCCUCAACUACUUCCCACUCCUCGCCUAUGAAGGCAUUGUCUGAUAGUUUAAGGACCUCGAGUUUGGAUAAUUUACCAACAAUGCUCAAAUCCUUCCAUGCCAAAGAAAAUUUUCCCCUAAAAGUUAAACUCUUAAGGUUUUGUGGAAAAGCAUCCGGAGGAGGUAAGAGUAAAGUUGGAACAUCAGUUGGAGGUGCAGUUCCCCCGAAACGAGUCUGAAACCUCAGAGGAUCUUGCGGAGUAGAACCUGAAGGUGCAGUGUUUUUUAGAAAGCAAGCAAUAGGUGAAUAAUAAAUACCAAAUGUCAAUUUCUCGAGCUGAUAUAAGUAGCGAAAAUCAUACAGGUCCUUGUGAUUGCGAAAGUCCUCUGGGACGCCAAAUACUUUCAACUUCUUUAAAUUGGGAAAUAGUCUAAAAAAAGACCCUGUACAAUACCGAGGAUUCAAUUGAUUGAGGCAUUGCAAACUUUUCAAAACCAAUCUGUUCUCUGUAGGCUCAUGACUCUGCAAGUAAUUCCAGCCCAUAUGCAGCUUCCUCAAUUGUGGCAUCGUCAAAAUUUCCGAUGGUAAUAUGAAAGGAUAACUACUAUUGGGAAAUGGAAGGUAAAGUUUAAAAGUUUGCAGAUAGCAUAGGCUUGAUAUCGAUAGAGGAAUGUCUAUUAUUGAUGAGGGAACAGCUUCUUUCGAUCCUCGAUACUGCUUUAAGCAAGGCUUAAAACACAAAGAUAGGUAUCUCAAAUGAAAUAGAGAAAGUACUCCACUGGGAAAAAAUGGGCAUAUAGUCAAACCAAGAUCUAGUACUCUUACUAGCUUGAAAGACAAUGCCAGUGUGACGCAUUUGAAUCCACCCAACAUGAUAAUAGAAUGAGCCUCACUGCUACAACACCAAACCAAUUUUUUCUCAUUAUGGAUUCUGAUCCGAUUUCGACUCUUAAAGGAACACUGCAUGGAUUGUUCACAUGAAUUUUGAUAACUCUUUCCUCUGAUAACAUUCACAAAAUUCAUGUUUCGAGCUUCCCUCAAACAGAGUUCACGGGUCACAUCAUGCAUUCCACAACUUUCUAUUGUUCCACGAAAACUAAAAUUGUGGAUGAAAAUUAAGCUUCUAUCUAUAAGUUCAUUUAUACAUGUUGUUGCCACCUCUUCUAUGCUUUUUCCCUCUUCUUCAUUCAAAAACCCCUCUACGGCCCAUAAUUCAACAAGUUUAUUUACAUAAAUCUGUUCAUCCUCUGCGAAAAUUGCAAAAUACAGAAAACACGGUUUUAGGUGAGAAGGCAAGUGAUGGUAACUCAAAGCCAACACUCUCAUGCACUUUGCUUCAAGAUCUGUGCUUACCACUGAACUUACAUUCUCCGCAACAUAUUGCCACACACCCAAUGUUUUACUGAUUUUGGAGAGAAGUCCAGCAAUCACAGUAAUUGCUAGAGGUAACCCUCCACAUUUUAAUGCAAUUUGUUUCCCAAUAUUUUCAAAUUCAGGAGAAUAAGAACCUUCUUUUUCAAAGAUCUUUUUGUGUAGUAAAUUCCAACUUUCGUCAAAAUUCAUGAGGCGCAUGUGAUGAGGAGGCUUACCUGACCUAGCACAUUCAGCCACUUCCACAUUCCGAGUAGUCAGGAGUAUUCUGCUUCCAUUAUAACAGUCUGGGAAACAUAGUUUUAUAUCAUCCCAAGCUUCUGUAGUCCAUAUGUCAUCAAUGACUACCAAGUAUCUCCUGCCUUUCAGAUGCUUCUGCAAUCGGUCCGCUAGCUGAUCAUCAGGUUCAUCACUUAUCGAAGGAAGAAGGCCUAGGAUUACAUUUCUCACACAAUACUCUUGUGAAACAGUUGCUUUUGCACGAAUAUCAAAUCGAGACAUAAUGUAAGGAUCACUAUAGAGUUUUGUAGCCAAAGUUGUUUUCCCGAUACCUCCCAUCCCUACGAUUGAGACAACUUCUAGUUCCCUUCCUCCUCUAGCAAGUUGAUCCAGCAUCAUCUCAAAUUCAUUUUCACGGCCAACCAUUAUAUUCUCGGGCUGCUCAACAGCAUGUUCAGGUAAACUGACAAGUGAGCUAGUUUGUGGUUUUAGAUCUUUCAUGCUGUCCGAUGCUGCCAUCCACUGUUUCACGGUGGAAGCAAUGCAUUCUAGUGCUUGUUCCAAGACGAAAAAAAUCUCCCACAUAGCCCUGCUUCUUUCCUCCAAAUUCUGUGCUAAAAAAACAUUUCUUGAUUCCGAGUCAACCAUAUCUUCUGUUGUGUAUGCUACCUCUGCGAUUUCAACUUCCAAGAUUGUUAACCCCUCAUGAUCGCCCAUUAUAUUGCAGGAUUUCUCCAGAAUAGCUCUCAAAGAUUUGAGCUUUUCAUAAAACGGUUGCAAAUCACAUCCAGUAAGUUCCAUUGAUUGAUGUAUGGUUCUCAUAAGGGAAGUAACAGCAGCAUAAGCCAUAUAUCCAAAAAAUAGAAAUAUCUCUCAGUAUGAAAAUGGACAAAUUGCCACAAGUUAUGUAAUUUUUCAGUUUUUAAGAAAACAGAAAAUGCAAAGUUCUUUCUUUUACUAGCUAUUUCCAUCACAUUUCCAGCUAGGUCCACCAACCUUAUCAUCAUGUAGACAAAAGCAGAGACCAAAGUUAAAAAAAAAAGAAAAAAGGCAGGACUCUAACAGGAAAAAGUAGAAAAAAUUGUGACCAUUCAUUAUUAGACCCUACACUUAUCUAUUCAUGAAUAUAGGUAUGUUUCUUACAUACAAGAGAUUGAUGAUUUUAAUUCCAUUGAAAGCAACUUCGUAGAAUUUUCCAAAUCAAAGAGAGAGAAAUAUUAAGAUCCAAGUAGGAAUUUCUCUAUUCCUAGUUCGAUUCAAUUAACCAAGCAUAAAUAUCUCUUUAAAUAUAUAUGAGAAGUUUAGACUCUAAAAGUCAAAUCAACAAAAUAUUUAUGGGCUAACACAUGAAAAACUAUUGAGAAAAUUGCCUAAUUUCUGUAAAUUGGCCCUUAAAUCUCCAAAAUGGACUCUAAAAAUUGUCAGACUGUACGUAUUGCUCCCAACUCCCUACUAAGGGUUCUGUAAUUUCGAUUAGAAUUCGCCCGUAAGUCAUAUCACCAAUAUAUUAAUGACUAACACACACGAAAAACUAAGAAAAUUGUCUAAUUUCUUGAAAUUGGCCCCUAAAUGCCUAAAAUGGACUCUAAAAAAUUGUCAGACUGUACGUAUUGCUCCCAACUACCUACUAAGGGUUCUGUAAUUUCGAUUAGAAUUCGCCCGUAAGUCAUAUCACCAAAAAUAUUAAUGGGCUAACACACACAAAACACUGAGAAAGUCGCCUAUUCCUGUAAAUUGGCCCCUAAAUGCCCAAAAUGAACUCUAAAAUUGUGAGACUAUGUACUGCUCCACUAACUCCCUAUGGAGGGUUCCGUAAAGAUUUCACAAAGAAAUUAUUCGGAAGAUAUAUCACCAAAAUAUUUAUGGGCUAAUACAUUUUUAUUUGUCCAUUUGAUUUGAUAUAUCUUUCAAGUACUUUGAUCCGGUUAUACUUUUUUUUUAUUGCUAAAAAUAAAUAUCCACUUUUACUUGUUCAUUCUACAAAACAAAGACAAUAUUUUAUUGCUUGAUUCAGAUAUAAAAUUUGAGUAGGCUAAUUUACAAACCAUCUGUAGUCAUCCUGCCCCUAUGCUAUAACAUUUGAAAGAAAGAGGUCAUCAUCAUCAUAUUCAUCAUCGUUGUCAUCUUCAUCUUCAUCUUCAUCAUCAUCUUCAUCUUCAUCAUCAUCUUCAUCAUCAUCUUCAUCUUCUUCAUCAUUAUCAUCAUCAUCAUCAUGAUCGUCAUCGUCACUUGUUUCCUCACUGUUGAAAAAGCCAGCAACAAAAGAUGAAAAAUGAAAUGUUAUGCAAGUAUAACAAGUUACACAAUUACUAUAUUGGAAGGAUUUAAAUCAUAUACAAUGACAACGUAUGAACUUUUACACUAUAGGUGCCAUUUAACUGCUUAUUAAAGCAACUUAUAAUUAUUUUAUUACUAGUUCUGGACACAUGCUUUGCAUGUGUAUAUUACACGUUUAGUCACGAUUGUAAGAGGGUGUACACCAGGAUCAUUCGAAGAGCAAAGUCGUGUGAGCCUUACAGAUAUUCUUGACGUACUCCUAUUAAAAUCUGUAUCAUAAUAUCUGAUGAAAUCAGCUACUGAUCAGUCAAGCUCUCCAUUGAUGUAGACUUCAACUACACAUGAGAAAGAAUGAGAGAAGAAGAGAGAAGAGAAGAGAAGAAGAAUCUAGAAGAGCAACAUGAAAAUUAAUCUCUCAUUGAAUGUGAAUUAAAACUACAAGAAUUACAAUGUGACUAUAUAUAUAUAAUCACUGGCAGAAAUUAACUAACUAACAAACUUGAUUCUAACUAACUCUACUGUACAUAGAUUCUAACUAACUCUACUGUACAUAACCGACUCUACUGUACAUAACUAACUAAUUAUACUUUAUAUUCUCAUCACCCCCCCUCAAGUUGGAGGUGAUGUAAUUACAGACAACUUGUGCAAUAAGGCAGUAUGUUUAACUCCAGUCAGAGCCUUGGUGAAGAUGUCUGCCAACUGUGAAUCAGUGGGAAUAUGAUGGAGUGUGAUUAGGCCUUGUUGAAGCUUGGUCCUAACAAAGUGACAAUCGAUUUCUAUGUGCUUUGUCCUCUCAUGAAAAACUGGAUUCUUUGCAAUGUGGACUGCUGCUUGACUGUCACAAUGGACAGGGAUAGGUAAGGAGCAUUGUACAGUCAACUCAUCCAACAAUCGUUCAAGCCACACUAGUUCUCCUACAACUUGUCUCACAGCUCUAUAUUCAGCUUCAGCAGAUGACAAAGACACUGUUGCUUGCUUCUUAGACUUCCAGCUGACAGGACUAUCACCCAGAAGCACUAGGUAUCCACUAACAGACUUCCUGGAAUCAGGGCAAGCAGCCCAAUCAGAAUCACAAUAAGCACUGAUAGUGAGAUCAGGCUUGUUUGAGAUAAAAAUUCCCAAUGUUGGAUCCUGUUUCAAAUAUCUGAGCACAUGGUAUGCUGCUUUUAAAUGUGGUUCCCUAGGUGAUUGCAUAAAUUGGCUCAAGUGUUGUAUACUAUAAGCUAUGUCCAUUCUAGUGUUGGUCAAAAAAUUUAGCUUACCAACCAACUUCCUGUAUUGAGUAGGAUCAGAUAAAAGAUUGCCAUCUGUAGCUGUUAACUUCUCAGUGCAAUCAAGUGGUGAUGUAGUGGCCUUGUGACUUAACACAUCAAAAUCUUUCAGGAGAUCAGAAGUGAAUUUCCUUUGUGAAACUAGCACUCCAUCAUGUCUGUAUAAUAUUUCCAGUCCCAGAAAGUAGUGUAGUUUGCCCAAAUCCUUUAUCUUGAACUGAUCAUUUAAGAAGCUCUUUAAGGAGUUGAUUUCAGCCACAUCUGUUCCAGUUAGAAUUAUGUCAUCCACAUAUACAGCAACAAACACCAAGGAGCAGCCCUUCCUUUUGUAGAACAGUGAGUAAUCACUGUCUGAGUGCUGAUACCCUCUUGAACAUAGACAGUUUGCCAACUUCUCAUACCAUUGCCUGCUGGCCUGUUUUAGUCCAUACAAAGACUUCUUCAAUUUGCACACCAUGUUAUCACAACCUACUACAAGACCUUGUGGAGGUGCCAUGUACACUUCCUCAUGCAAAUCACCAUGUAAGAAUGCAUUAUUGACAUCUAGCUGAUACAAGCUCCAAUCUUUCUUAACAGCUAAAGAGAUUAAUGUUCUAACAGUAGUCAUUUUAACUACAGGUGAGAAGGUUUCAGUGUAAUCUACCCCAACUUGUUGUGUAUAACCUUUGACCACCAACCUACACCCCAGCUUGUUGUGUAUAACCUUUGACCACCAGCCUAGCCUUGAACCUCUCCACACUCCCAUCAGCUUUGUGCUUGAUUUUGUACACCCACUUGCACCCAAUAGCUUUCUUCCCAUCAGGUAACAUGACCAUCUCCCAAGUGUCAUUAGCAUACAAAGCUUCAAACUCCUGUGUCAUGGCCUGCUGCCAGGCAGGGUGCAAUAUUGCUUCCUCAAAUGAAAUAGGCUCACAUUCAUGUGAAAUGGUUGUUACUAACUGCUGACUAUCAGAACAAAGACUGGUGAAACAUACAUGUUUAUGGGGAGAUAUAAAGGAAGUGAGGGAGUGCAGCUUAGGUAUAGUGUAGGUGUAUUCUUUUAGGUAAUUAGGAGUGUGUAUGGUUCUGGUUGUUCUUCUAGGUGCUGAUAUUGUAGGUACUGGUAAAGUAUCAUGAUGCAUGGUGGCAUUUGGAUCAGGUAAGGUAGGUUGAGUUGUAGUAGGUUGAGUUGUAGGUUCAUGUAGGACAGCAGGUGGUACUUCAUUCAUGUUGGUAUUACUGGUUACUUGAUUAUUAGUGACUUCAUGUGGUGUGAAAUUUUCCAGUUGAUCAUCAUUAGCAAAAAUGUUCAUUUUACCAGACAUACAAGGCAUGCUAGUGGUAUGAGUAAGCAUUUGCAGAAUGGAAUUGAAACUAGAACCAUCAGGGGCAAUAACAAAAGGAAAAAUAUUUUCUUGAAAAAUAACAUCUCUUGAUAUAUGAACUUUCUUGGUAGCUAAAUUCAAAACUUUGUAACCUUUUGUAUUGAAAGGGUAACCAACAAAAACAUGAGGUGUGGUUCUAGGUUCAAAUUUAUCUUUGUGAGUUUUCAAGGUAGUGGGGAAACAAAGACAACCAAAACUCUUAAGGUGGGAAUAUGUAGGUGAUUUAUGGUACAACAUUUCAUAUGGAGAUUUAUUCUGUAAAAGUUGAGUGGGCAGUCUAUUAAUCAGGUAUGUGGCAGUCAAUACACAUUCCCCCCAGUACCUCAUAGGCAACUUUGACUGAAACAAAAGUGCCCUUGCUGUUUCAAGUAGGUACUUAUGUUUCCUUUCUACCACCCCAUUUUGUUGAGGUGUAUAAGGACAAGUUCUUUGGUGUAUGAUACCUUGUUUUGGAAGAAAUUUGUGGCUUCAGCUGAAGUAAACUCUAACCCAUUGUCAGAUCUUAUGGCUUUUUAACUUGGUUUGGAAUUGGUUUUCUAUGAGAGAUAUGAAGGCUUUGAUAGUUUGGAGAGCAUUACUCUUACAUCUCAGCAAUUGUGUCCAAGUGGACCUACUGUGGUCAUCUACCAUAGUGAGGAAAUAAUGAUAUCCAUCAUGAGUGGGAACAUGAUAUGGUCCCCAUAGGUCAACAUGUAACAACUCAAACACUUUAGUGGUGGUGGUGAUACUUUCUGGAAAAGGCAUCCUAGUUUGCCUAGCCAUAGGGCAUAUAUUGCAAGUAAAAGGCUGUUUAGGAGAAAAAUGAACAGGUAUAGUUGAGAUAUUUUUCAUUUUUACAAAAGGUACAUGUCCUAAUCUAGCAUGCCACAAAAGUUCAUCAUCAUGAGUGUGAUUAGAGACAUUUGUAAAUGAAGGACAAGCAUGAGUAAAACAAGAGGAAGGAAAAACAGUACAAUCUGCCUUAUUCAUAGGAGAGUAUUUUACAGAAGAACCAGUGGACACAUUAGAAUCUGAAACCCUGCUAGUAUUGCCUAAAGAAGAGACAAGAGGACAAUUAACAUGAGGUGCUUUACUCUCAGCAGAUGGACAACAAUUGUGGCAUUUGUGACACAAGAAGUACAGGCCAUUCUUGGCUUUACCAAGUUCCAGAGGGCUCUUCAGAGAAGGGCCCUGCAGCAAACAAGAAGAUUUGUCAAAGCUGACUACACCAUUGAAUUGUAGUGCUAAACAAUGAACAGAAAUGAGAUUAAACUUGAAGCUAGGUACAAACAACACUUUGCUUAGAGUCAAAGCUGGAUUUAAACAAGCAUCACCAAUUUCAGUCACUUUAACCUUGUAACCAUUAGGGAGUGAAAUUAGAAAGGGAUAUGGAAGUGAAAUGAUGUUUGUGAGGGUGGUCUUAUCAUAGGUCAUAUGGUGUGAUGCUCCUGAAUCUAUGAUCCAAGAGCCAGCAGUCAGUUUAACACAUUUACAAGAAAGAUCACCUAUAUCAGUAAUAGAGGAAUAACAUGCAAGUAUACCUGCCAAGUUCACAGCUCCAUUCAGCAUGUUGUUUGAGUUGUCUGAGGCUCCAUUUCCAACUUGUAAAGUUCCCAGGAGAUUGAGUAGUUGUUCAUAUUGAUCUUUGGACAAGUUCAAUGGCAUUUGUCUCCUUACUUCAGGUUCCUCUUCAGAUUGAACUCCAUUCAUAUCAGGGGCACACACAUUUGCUGCAGCUUUUCCCUUUUUGAACCUUGGAUUUGGAUUGGAUGGGUAUCCAUGAAGCUUGUAACAUCUAUCCUUUGUGUGUCCUGAUUUCUUACAGUAGUCACAAAACAAAGAAGACUUGCCAGUGCUAGAAUUGCCUCUAAACCCAGUAUUACCAGAAUUGGUUCCACCUCCUCCAGAUGAACUGUAGUUUGUCCGGAAUCCCCUGUAUCCUGCACUGCUGUUGGUCUGUCCAUAAGCAUUGAGAGAGGUAGAAUCCAAGGCUGUAUGAUUAUGAGGCUUCACCUCCCUUUGUUUUUCCUCUUGGGAUAAUAUGGCAAAAGCUUGAGCCAUGCUUGGAAGUGUGUUCAUCAUGAGAAUGCUGCCUCUGACAGUCGUAUAUAUCUCAUUCAAUCCCAUUAGAAAAUGUAUCAAUCUUCUGUCUUGUUCAGCCUUGUGUAAUUUGCUUUUACCCCCACAAAUGCACACACAAGUACACUGAGAAUUGACAUCAAUGGUACUCAUUUCCUCCCACAACUUCUUCAUUCUUGUGUAAUAUCCAGUGAUGUCUAAAGUGCCUUGGACCAGAUCAUUAAUUUCCUUCUGCAGUUGAUACAAUUUACACCCAUUGGUUUGAUCGUACCUUUCUUCUAGUUCUCCCCAAAGCUCCUGAGCAUUAUUGACAUACUGCAGACUAUCACGCAAAUCUGGUGACAAGGAAUUCAGGAUCCAAGAUGUGACCAUAUCAUCACACCUUUCCCAUUGCUGAAAGCUAGGAUCAGUAGGAUCAGGUCUCACAACCUUCCCAUUAAUGAAUCCUGUCUUGCUCUUAACAGAUAAAGCCCUGAGAACUGCUCUUCUCCAGGAUCUGUAACCAGUUCCAUCAAAAACUGCAGGUAAUAGGGAUGAACUUGCAUUCUCAGAUGGAUGCAAGUAGAAAGGACUAGGGAUUUCUACCCUAACAGUGGAUGCAGAAGCAUUUGGAAUGGAAUCAUUUGAAGAAUCGACCAUUGUGAAUUGAAAAUUGGGAAGAAGAUCAAGUCGAGAACAACCAGAUCAAACAGCGUUCACAAACAAAAUUGACAGAUCGAAGAUCCAGUCGAGAUCAACCAGAUCAAAGAAAAAAUUCACAUAAGAGAAAACGAAGCUCACAGAUUGAAUUGGAAACAAAAAAAAACAGGAGCAAUUCCCUGUGCUUUGAUACCAUGAUGAAAUCAGCUACUGAUCAGUCAAGCUCCUCCAUUGAUGUAGCUUCAACUCACAUGAGAAAAGAUGAGAGAAGAAGAGAGAAGAGAAGAGAAGAAGAAUCUAGAAGAGCAACAUGAAAAUUAUCUCUCAUUGAAUGUGAAUUAAAGAAGUGAGUAUUACAAUGUAUCUGUAUAUAUACACAAUCACUAAGCAACUAAUAAUCAUUGGCAGAAAUUAACUAACUAACAAACUUGAUUCUAACUAACUCUACUGUACAUAACCGACUCUACUGUACAUAACUAACUAAUUAUACUUUAUAUUCUCAUCAAUAUCCCUUUUUUCAAAUUUCAUAGCUGAACUACUAGGUGUGCGAGUUCCUACCAGAACUAUUACCAACUAUUUAUCAAAACACACAUCAACUAUAUAUGAGUUGUUCCCUUUUACUAGUGGUGAAAAAUAGGUGGAUUUGGACGGGACUGAAAAUGGAUUGAGCAACAUGGUCGUAACUCACUUUAAUCUCUUAAAGCCAGAAAACUUUAAAGAGUUAAUUGAAAUAAACUUAAUGACUAUCCUACUUGAAGUAUCACCAUCGUUCAGGUAAGAAAAAGGAAGUAAAUCAAGGAAGACGAUGUCUUACAAAGCCUGAUGGAUAUGGACCUCGAUAGAACCUCCAUAGUUGUCUUGAAUGUCCUGUUGAAUCUGCUUUGCGGAAUUCCCAACAGAUUCUGGGCAGUUUCUUAUAUCAAUUAGAGCAAGUGUGGUUAUAUCUGCAAAAUCUUGAGGGAUUGAGUCCAAAAACCUGCAACUAUCAAGAAAUAGUCGUUCAAGGCACGGAAAGUGAUCACAACUAGCUCUCCAGUACUGAAUAUGUGAUCUUUUAAGUAACAAGAACUUCAAAAAAGGAAACCCUUCCUCAGCUACUUCCCACUCCCUGCCUCUGCAUACACCCUGUGUUAGUUCAAGAAGUUCAAGUUUGGGCAAUUUUCCGACAACAAUGCUUAAAUCCUUCCAUGACAAGAAGAAAUUUCCUGUAAAAGUUAAAUUCUUAAGGUUUCGUGGAAAAGCAUCUGGAGGAGGUAAGAUCAAAGAUGGAACAACUUCUACAACAAGUGGAUUCCUUGUCUGAAAACACAUUCUCCUCUCCAAAAAGUAAGCAUUAUUUUGAGGAGGAAGACAAAAUGCUAGUUCCUCGAGAUGAUCUAAGUAGCGAAAAUCAUAGAGGUCUUUGUGACUAUGGAAGUCUUGUGGGAUGCCACGUACUUGCAACUCCUUUAAAUUGGGAAAUAGUCUAAAGAAAGAUGCAGUACAAUAGCUAGGAUUCCAUCCAAACAGAGAAUGUAAAUUUUUCAUAACCAAACUUUUCUCUGUAAGCUCAUGAUAUCGCAAGUAAUUCCGAUCCAAAUGAAGGUGCCUCAACUGUGGCAUAGUCAAAAUUUCUGAUGGUAAUAUCAAAGCAUGUUUACGAAGAUUAAUAACGAGUGGAAGGUAAAGUACCAAACUUUGCAGAUAGCAUAGGUUUGAUAUGGAUGUAGGAAUGUCUACUCUUGAUGAGAGAACAUCUUCUUCGGAUCCUAGAUAUUGCUCAACGUUAGGAUAAAUACGCAAAGCUAGGUGUCUUAAGUGAAUCAAAUAAAGUAUUUCACGGGGAAAAGUUAGACAGAUAUUAUCAGCAAGAUCUAGAACUCUUACUAGCUUGAACGGCAAGUACUCCCUCAUGCAACAUCGGAAUCUACCAAAUAAGAUAACAGAAUGAGCUUCACUGUUAAGGCACCUAACAUACUCUUUCUUAUUAUGGAUGCUGAUUCGACCUCGACUCUUAGACAAACACUGCAUAGAUUUCACACAUGGAUUUUGAUCAUUCUUACUUCCGAGAACAUUCACAAAAUUCAUGUUACGAGCUUCCAUCAUACAGAGUUCACGAGUCGUAUCAUGAAUUCCACAACACUUAAUUUUUCCAUCAAAAGUAGUACUUUCUAUGGAAAUUAAACUUCUAUCAAUAAGAUCUUGUAGGUACUUUUCUGCCACUUCUUCUAUGCUUUUCAUCUCUUCUACCUUCAAAAAUCCCUCUGUUUCCCACAAUAUCAUAAGUUUAUUGACAAAAAUCAGUUUAUCCUCUGGGAAGAUUGCGAAAUAUAAAAAGCAUGGUUUUAGGUGGUGAGGCAAGUAAUGGUAACUCAUUGCCAACACCCUCAUGCAUUGGACACCAACAUCUGUGCUUACUGCUGAACUUACAUUUUCAGCAACACUUUGCCACUCACUCAAUGCUUUGUCAAUUUUAGUGAGAAGUCCCGCGAUCACAACAAUUGCUAGAGGCAAUCCUCCGCAUUUCAAUGCAAUUUGCUUUCCAAGUUGUUCAUAUUCAGGGGAGAAAGAGUCUUUCGUAAAGACUUUUUCAUACAAUAAACUCCAACUUUCGUCAAAAUUCAUGAGGCGCAUGUGAUAAGGAGGCUUACCUGAGCUAGCAUAUUCAGCCACUUCCACAUUCCGAGUAGUCAAGAGUAUUCGGCUUCCAUUAUGAAAGUCUGGGAAACAUAUUUGUAUAUCAUCCCAAGCUUUUGUAGUCCAUAUGUCAUCAAUGACUACCAAAUAUCUCUCACCUUUUAGAAGCUUUUGUAGUCGAUCUGCUAGUUGCCCGUCAUGUAGCUGAUCAUAAGGUUUAUCACUUAUACAAGAAAGAAGGUCUAGGAAAACAUUUCUCACACAAUACUCUUGUGAAACAGUAGCUUUAGCACGAAUGUCAAAACGAUACAUCAUGCAUGGAUCGUUGUAGAGUUUCGUAGCCAAAGUUGUCUUGCCAAUGCCUCCCAUACCUACAAUUGAUACAACUGCUAGUUCUCUUUCUCCUCUAGCAAGUUGAUCCAGCAUCAUCUUGAAUUCAUUUUCAUAGCCAACCAUUAUAUCCUCGGACCGCUCAACAGCACGUUCAGGUAUCUUGGAUAGACAAAAAUUUUGUGCUUUGAAAUCUUUAAAGUUGUUGUACCAGUCCCAUAUUGCCAACCACUGCAUCAUGAAGGAAUCAAUGCAUUCUACCUCUUGUUCCAAGGAACAACAGAGUUCCCAGAAAGCUUUGCUUCGUGUAAUUACAGUUUCUGCGGAAGAAACUUUUCUUGAUUUCGAAUCAACCAUGUCUUCUGCUUUGUAUGCUACCUCCGCGAUUUCAACUUCCAAGGUUGUUAACCCCUCAUGAUCUCCCGUUAUAUUGCAGGAUUUCUCCAUAAUAGCUCUCAAAGAUUCAAGCUUUUCAUAGAAUGGUUGCAAAUCACAUCCAGUAAGUUCCAUUGACUGGUGUAUGGUUCUCAUAAGGGAAGUAACAGCAGCAUAAGCCAUAUAUCCAAAAAAUAGGAAUCUCUCACACUCAGUAUGAAAAUGGACAAAUUAAUUGCCACAAGUUAUGUAAUCUUUCUUUUACUAACUAUUUCCAUCACAUUUCUAGCUAGGUCCACUAACAGGUAAAGUAGAAAGAUGUGAGGUCCCUAACCUUAUCAUCAUGUAGACAAAAGAAGAGACCAAAGUUUUUAAAAAAAAGACAGGAAAAAGUAGAAAAAUUUGUGAUCAUUCAUUAUUAGACCCUACACUAAUCUCUUUAGAAAAAUAAACUAAAAUUUUAGUUUAAAUAAAGGAGUUCAAGCUGUAUAUUGAUAACGCCCAAUUCAAAUUCAAGUGUAGUACGGUCUAGCAAUAAUAAACUCAACAAAUGUUGGGGUCGAGGAGUAUGCUUGUGUCAAGGUGACAGAGAAUGCGAAUUUGCGAAUUUCCUAAGCUUAUCUACAAAUAAAAGGUCUUUCUUUUAGCUAGGUCCAUAAUCCAUGUAGUGCUCUCUACUCUCUAGUCUCUAUCAACCAACUCAAGUUUAAGGGUGUGUUUGGUAUGGAGGAAACAUUUUCUCUAGAAUAGGGAGAGUUUUGUGCAUAAACAAAGAAGAAUAUCUCAGUAUAACAGUGAAUGUGUAUUUUUUUUAUGAUUUGCUUCAUUUGAGUAUGACUUUUGUAAGAAAAUUCUGGUAAAAGUUUAAAAAAUGAUCUUGUGGAAUAAGCACAGUGAAUUCCUUAAUAUUCGAGUAGAAAAAGCCAGGGAGGAUAACAUUGCUAUUUGUACACUUAUCGUGACACGAGUAGUCUCUUAAAUAUUACACCUUUCUACUGGUGUUGCUGGUGCCACUGAAUUUAGCCUUCCGUCUUCCUUUGCGAGGUAGAUUGAGGACUCCCAAGAAAGGAAACACAAGGUACUGGAGUCUGUUCCGGCCUCUACAGUAUGUAUGUACAUAAAAUUUGGAGUAACUAAAAAACCACUGACAAAUGGCUAUACGAAAGAUCAUAUACAAUUUAAUUACAAGCCAUUUGCAAUCAUCCUGCCCCUUUAUGCAGAAUCUUUUCAAAGAAAAUGAAAACAAACACUCACACAUUUGGCUUCUGAUUGACAUUUAUUUCAGAGAACUGGCUAGUCCUCAGAACACCUUAACUACUCGCUGCAGAAAAAAAAAGACGCAAAAAAUGGAAAAUAAUAUGUUAGAUGUCCCAUAAUUAAGGAACAGGAGAACAUUAUAGCAAGAAUGAGCAUGCAGGUAUAAGAACUUACACAUUAUUGCGGCAAGAAGCAACUUCUUUCUCAAAGUCAAUAUCAUCAUCUUCAUCUAUUGUUACACUACAUCGAAAAUGCUUGCUACAAAAGAUGAAAAAUGAAAUGUUACACUUCCCAAAAUCAAGAAUGAGCAUGCAAGUAUAACAACUUACACAAUAUUGGAAGGAUUCGAAUCAAUCACAAUGACAGCAUCAAGAACUUUUGUUGAAUUGGUGUAAUUUGACUUACUAAAGCUAUUAUCCAGAUUAUUAUCGAGUUUACUAUAAUGAUGAGUUAAAUAUUGUUGUAAAUCAAGGAAGAAGAUGUACUUACUAAAGAUUACGAGUAUGGACCUCGAUAGAGCUUCCAUAGUUGUCUUGAAUGUCCUGUUGAAUUUGCUUGGCGGAAUUCCCAACAGAUUGUUGACAGUAACUUAUAUCAAUAAGAGCUAGUGUGGUUAUAUCUGCAAAAUCUCGAGGGAUUGAAUCCAAAUAAUAGCAACUUCUAAGAAAAAGUCGUUCAAGGUACGGAAAGUGAUCACUACUAGCUCUCCAGUACCGAAUGCAUACUUCAUGCAGAAACAAGAACUUCAAGUGAGGAAACCCUUCCUCAACUACUUCCCACUCCUCGCCUAUGAAGGAUUUCCAUGAUAGUUUAAGGACCUCGAGUUUGGGUAAUUUACCAACAAUGCUCAAAUCCUUCCAUGCCAAAAAGAAUUCUCCGCUAAAAGUUAAACUCUUAAGGUUUUGUGGAAAAGCAUCCGGAGGAGGUAAGCGUAAAGUUGAAACAUCAGUUGGAGGUGCAGUUGCCCUGAAAGGUAAGAGUAAACUUGUAUAAAGUUGAACAACUAGCCACAUGAGUCCUACAUGACACAAUACACAUAAGACACCAACUAUUUCCAUCACAUUUCCAGCUAGGUCCACUAACAGGAUAAAGUAGAAAGAUGUGAGGUCACUAACCUUAUCAUCAUGUAGACAAAAGAAGAGACCAAAGUUAAAAAAAAAAAAGACAGGAAAAAGUAGAAAAAUUUGUGAUCAUACAUUAUUAGACCCUACACUAAUCUCUUUAGAAAAAUAAGUUUCAAUAAAGGAGUUCAAGCUGUAUAUUGAUAACGUCCAAUUCAAAUUCAAGUGUAGUACGGUCUAGCAAUAAUAAACUCAACAAAAGUUGGGGUCGAGGAGUACACUUGUGUCAAGGUGACAGAGAGUGUUCUGGCCUAUACAGUAUGUAUGUAUGUACAUAAAAUUUGGAGUAUCUAAAGAACCACUGACAAAUGGCUAUACGAAAGAUCAUAUACAAUUAAAUUACAAGCCAUUUGCAAUCAUCCUGCCACCUUAUGCAGAAAAAAUGAAAAUUCUGAUUUGACAUUUAUUUCAGAGAACUGGCUAGUCCUCAGAACACCUUAACUACUCGCUGCAGAGAAAAAAAAAAGACACAAAAAAUGGAAAAUAAUAUGUUAGAUGUCCCAUAAUUAAGGAACAAGAGAACAUUAUAGCAAGAAUGAGCAUGCAGGUAUAAGAACUUACACAUUAUUGCGGCAAGAAGCAACUUCUUUCUCAAAGUCAUCUUCAUCUGUUGUUAUAUCGAAAAUGCUUUCUACAAAAGAUGAAAAAUGAAAUGUUACACUUCCCAAAAUCAAGAAUGAACAUGCAAGUAUAACAAGUUACACAAUAUUGGAAGGAUUCAAAUCAAACACAAUGACAGCAUCAAGAACUUUUGUUGAAUUGGUGCAAUUGGACUUACUAAAGCUAUUAUCCAGAUUAUUAUCGAGUUUACUAUGAUGAUGAGUUAAAUAUUGUUGUAAAUCAAGGAAGAAGAUGUCUUACAAAAGAUGACGAGUAUGGACCUCGAUAGAGCUUCCAUAGUUGUCUUGAAUGUCCUGUUGAAUUUGCUUGGCGGAUUUCCCAACAGAUUGUCGACAGCUACUUAUAUCAAUAAGAGCUAGUGUGGUUAUAUCUGCAAAAUCUGGAGGGAUUGAAUCCAAAUCAUAGCAAUUUCUAAGAAAAAGUCGUUCAAGGUACGGAAAGUGAUCACUACUAGCUCUCCAGUACCGAAUGUAUAUGUUAUCCAGAAACAAGAACUUCAAGUGAGGAAACCCUUCCUCAACUACUUCCCACUCCUCGCCUAUGACGGCAUUGUCUGAUAGUUUAAGGACCUCGAGUUCGGGUAAUUUACCAACAAUGCUCAAAUCCUUCGAUGCCAAAAAGAAUUCUCCGCUAAAAGUUAAACUCUUAAGGUUUUGUGGAAAAGCAUCCGGAGGAGGUAAGAGUAAAGUUGGAACAUCAGCUGGAGGUGCAGCUUUCCCGAAUUGUGUCUUUUUGUACAAUAAUUUCGUCUGAAACCUCAGAGGAUCUUGCGGAGUAGAACCUGAAGGUGCAGUGCUUUCUAGAACGCAAGCAGCACCUGGAUAAUAAACACGAAAUGCCAAUUUCUCGAGCUGAUAUAAGUAGCGAAAAUCAUACAGGUCCUUGUGAUUGCGAAAGUCCUCUUGGACGCCAAAUACUUUCAACUUCUUUAAAUUGGGAAAUAGUCUAAAAAAAGACCCUGUACAAUUCCGAGGAUUCAAUUGAUUGAGACAUUGCAAACUUUUCAAAACCAAUCUGUUCUCUGUAGGCUCAUGACUCCGCAAGUAAUUCCAGCCCAUACGCAGCUUCCUCAAUUGUGGCAUCGUCAAAAUUUCCGAUGGUAAUAUGAAAGGAUAACUAUCGGUAAAUGGAAGGUAAAGUUUAAAAGUUUGCAGAUAGCAUAGGCAUGAUAUCGAUAGAGGAAUGUCUAUUAUUGAUGAGGGAACAGCUUCUAUCGAUCCUCGAUACUGCAGUAAGCAAGGAUUAAAACACAAAGAUAGGUAUCUCAAAUGAAUUAGAGAAAGUACUCCACUGGGAAAAAUUGGGCAUGGAGUCCAACCAAGAUCUAGUACUCUUACUAGCUUGAAAGACAAUUCCAGUGUGAUGCAAUUGAAUCCACGCAACAUGAUAAUAGAAUGAGCCUCACUGUUACGACACCAAGCCAAUUCUUCCUCCUUAUAGAUACUGAUCCGACUUCGCUUCUUAAAGGAACACUGCAUGGAUUGUGCACAUGAAUUUUGAUCACUCUUUCCUCUGAUAACAUUCACAAAAUUCAUGUUUCGAGCUUCCCUC